This 492-nucleotide ribosomal RNA is filed under the name uncultured bacterium. RNAcentral describes it as "bacterial SSU rRNA". It matches the Rfam family "Bacterial small subunit ribosomal RNA", at positions 791 to 1286 of the family's 1533-position model. The record is from RNAcentral.
UAGUCCACGCCGUAAACGAUGGAUGCUCGGUGCUGCACCGCUUUUAGGUGCAGUGCCUAAGCUAACGCGUUAAGCAUCCCACCUGGGGAGUACGAUCGCAAGGUUGAAACUCAAAGGAAUUGACGGGGGCCCGCACAAGCGGUGGAGCAUGUGGAUUAAUUCGAUGCAACGCGAGGAACCUUACCUGGGCUUAAAUGCAUAAUGACAGACUGGGAAACCAGUCCUUCUUCGGACAGAAUGCAAGGUGCUGCAUGGCUGUCGUCAGCUCGUGCUGUGAGGUGUCGGGUUAAGUCCCAUAACGAGCGCAACCCCUAUUUCUAGUUGCCAGCACAUAAUGGUGGGGACUCUAGAAAAACUGCCCGCGCAAGCGGUGAGGAAGGUGGGGACGACGUCAAGUCAUCACGGCCCUUACGUCCAGGGCUACACACGUGCUACAAUGGUAGAGACAGAGGGCAGCCACCUGGUGACAGGGAGCUAAUCCUUAAACUCUAU